AUCGAACCGAAUGGAAUAUUGGUGCUAAUCUGAAUGGAAUGUUGGAUCCUUAUGCAAUCAUCACUUGUGGUUCAGAAAAGCGGUUUAGUGAAAUUGGCUGAAUUUAUGAAAUGUUUUUAGAGCUUUAUUGGAAGAACCGAGACGAGAGGGUUUUUGAACUAAAGUAUAUGGAUACAUCAACACAUCUCCUGGAAAGUAUAAAGGCAGAAUGAAAUCAUACCGGUGGAUGGUUAAAAGGAGAAAAAUUGCGGAUCUCACCUUAGAUAGCUGGAACAAUUUUGUAAAACUUGGAUUUUGUAUAGGCUUCUCUGUAGUUUGUUUGUUGUUUUUGUUCUAUUUGGGGUGUAUUUGUUCUUAUGUUAUGGCUAAUAUAGCAGUUAUCAGAUAGAAGCAUUAGCUCAGGCAAUUAAGGAGAACACUGUAGUGUUCUUUGAGACGGGAUCAGGCAAGACGUUGAUCGCGAUUAUGCUUUUAUGUCACUACGCUUAUCUGCUGAAAAAACCCUCCCCAUGUAUUGAUGUGUUCUUGGUAGUUGGUACCCACUGUUGUAUUGGUUAAACAGCAAGCGGAGUAUGCGAGAAAGCACCUUGAUUUGAAAGUGGAGGAGUAUUGGGGUGAAAAAGGUGUUGAUUUUUGGAAUGCUGCUGAUUUGAAGAAACAACGAUAUCAGAAUCAGGUAUGACAAGUCAACAUUUGACUUUUUUGUUGACCGCAUACAAUCUCAUCAGAAUUUUGACUAAUGAUCAAAUACGUAAAGUACCCCUG
This is a long non-coding RNA of Helianthus annuus (common sunflower), 765 nucleotides long. RefSeq lists it as uncharacterized. The record is from RefSeq and is a predicted model, not a curated record. Lineage: Eukaryota; Viridiplantae; Streptophyta; Magnoliopsida; Asterales; Asteraceae. The transcript is spliced from 3 exons.